ACUUUCAAUUCCAAUAAAUAAUAUAUACAGGUUAGUUAAAAAGUUUAUGCUCUCACCAAGAAAUACUAGCUCCAAAGUUUAUUCUCAAGUUGGUUCUUAUCUGUCGUGAAAACACAUGCAAAGUUACAAGUCAUUCUGUUAAUUAAUUCUUUGUUUACAAUGUUUGAAGUUUGCGUGUCAGAGUAUUUUUUUAAUAUGGAAAACAUUGUAUAUUGCGCAGUGAAUAGAUUCUUUGCUUUAAAUGGUUUAAAAGCAAAAGAAAUUUAUGAAAAAUUAUUAGAAGUGUAAUAUAAGGAGUCCUUAUCUGAAUUUAAACACGCAAAGGACGAUCCAAAACCACAACUACACCAGAAAUCAUUGAGCAAGUUCAUAAUAUUAUUUACAUAUAAAAAAGUUAGUGCCGCACAAGUUAACAAUUCAACAUAAACUGAAUCGAAAACAAAUUUAUCAGCAUGGUCUGGAGCAUUUUAAGCAGAAUAAAACCGAUUUCUUGCGUCGUUUUAUAAGUACGGAUGAGAGUUGGAUCUACCACCAUAAUCCUAAAUUGAAACAAAAACGUCUACAAUGGACUGAAGCUGUUUGUUCAGCUACAAAGCAGG
Bactrocera oleae (olive fruit fly) is the source of this 599-nucleotide long non-coding RNA. RefSeq lists it as uncharacterized. NCBI's taxonomy places the organism in Eukaryota, Metazoa, Arthropoda, Insecta, Diptera, Tephritidae. The record is from RefSeq and is a predicted model, not a curated record.